RNAcentral lists this ribosomal RNA (253 nucleotides) under uncultured bacterium. Its description in RNAcentral is "partial 16S ribosomal RNA". It matches the Rfam family "Bacterial small subunit ribosomal RNA", at positions 524 to 776 of the family's 1533-position model. The record is from RNAcentral.
UACAGAGGAGCCAAGCGUUGUCCGGAUUGACUGGGCGUAAAGCGCACGCAGGCGGACGCGCGCGUGGGGUGUGAAAUCUGGCCGCUUAACGGCCAGGGGCCAUCCCAUACGGCGCGCCUGGAGCGAUGCAGAGGUCGGUGGAAUUGCCGGUGUAGUGGUGAAAUGCGUAGAGAUCGGCAGGAACACCCAGGGGGAAACCAGCCGACUGGGCAGCUGCUGACGCUGAGGUGCGAGAGCGUGGGGAGCGAACCGG